GCGACCGCCAAUCCCAAGAAUUGACAUGCGGCACAUUGUAGCUUCAGCUGCUCCACGUGAUUAACGUGGUUUUCCGAAUUCGCUGCGGGACCCGCUUGGGCGACAACAAUCACGAAUAAUAACAGGAACACAGUAACAGAAAAGCGAAUCAUUGAUUGAUUUUUUUGGAUCUCUUUCUCCCUUAUCAGUUGUCCAACUCCUCAUGAAACACUCGGUACUCCUGAUUGCAUUGAUGUCACGUAGAAUACAAAAAGAACUCACAAUCACUAUCUUAAAAUUUGGAACUUUGGACAUUCUGAACAGUUCGAAAAUAUCAGCUUUAUAAAUAAUAUACAACAAGAAUAAAUUAAUUCCUUAUGA
This is a non-coding RNA of Caenorhabditis elegans, 360 nucleotides long. Lineage: Eukaryota; Metazoa; Nematoda; Chromadorea; Rhabditida; Rhabditidae. The record is from Ensembl.